GGGAUUGUGGCUCAGUGGCAGAGUGCUUACCUUACAUGCAUGAGGCCCUGGGUUCGAUUCCUCAGCACCA
Molecule: transfer RNA, 70 nt
Filed under: Dipodomys ordii (Ord's kangaroo rat)
Lineage: Eukaryota; Metazoa; Chordata; Mammalia; Rodentia; Heteromyidae
Rfam family: tRNA
About the family: Transfer RNA (tRNA) molecules are approximately 80 nucleotides in length. Their secondary structure includes four short double-helical elements and three loops (D, anti-codon, and T loops).
Source: Rfam by way of RNAcentral